GUGUCUGUAGCUCAGUGGAUAGAGCGUUUAUUUCCUGAGCAGAAGGUCGUAGGUUCGAACCCCUACCUGACGUG
RNAcentral lists this transfer RNA (74 nucleotides) under Spinacia oleracea (spinach). It matches the Rfam family "tRNA". Rfam says of the family: Transfer RNA (tRNA) molecules are approximately 80 nucleotides in length. Their secondary structure includes four short double-helical elements and three loops (D, anti-codon, and T loops). Lineage: Eukaryota; Viridiplantae; Streptophyta; Magnoliopsida; Caryophyllales; Amaranthaceae. The record is from Rfam by way of RNAcentral.